RNAcentral lists this ribosomal RNA (407 nucleotides) under uncultured bacterium. RNAcentral describes it as "partial 16S ribosomal RNA". It matches the Rfam family "Bacterial small subunit ribosomal RNA", at positions 30 to 526 of the family's 1533-position model. The record is from RNAcentral.
AUUGAACGCUGGCGGCAGGCCUAAUACAUGCAAGUAGGACGCAGUUGCGAACGGGUGAGUAACGCGUAGGUAACUACCUAUUAGAGGGGGAUAACUAUUGGAAACGAUAGCUAAUACCGCAUACUAGUAGAUGGACCUGCGUUGUAUUAGCUAGUAGGUCGGGUAAUGGCCUACCUAGGCAACGAUACAUAGCCGACCUGAGAGGGGGAUCGGCCAAGCUGGGACUGAGACAAGGCCCAGACUCCUUCGGGAGGCAGCAGUAGGGAAGCUUCGGCAAUGGGGGGAACCCUUGCCGAGCAACGCCGCGUGAUUGAAGAAGGUUUUCGGAUCGUAAAGCUAUGUUGUGAAGGAAGCGGUACUUAACCAGAAAGGGACGGCUAACUACGUGCCAGCAGCCGCGGUAAUAC